CUCACAACCAGCUGUAACUUGAGUUCCAGGGGAUCCAACAUCUUCUUCUGUUUUGUUUUUUGUUUUUGUCACCUACAUGCAUGUUGUACACAUAAAUUCAUGCUGGUGAACACAUAUACACAUAAAAUAGAUAAAUCUUCUUUAAAAGAUUAAAGGUGUGAGGUUAGUUGUCUUUCGGGAGCCUCCAUUUAGCAUCUGUGACCUCUGGCUUCAUCCCGAGUGUGUUGAGGAGUCUCUGGCUUGGGGCUUCUGUAUUACCCCCCACAGUCCAGAGUCUCUUCUGUCUUGUGGUAGCACAUACAGGUGUUCAUUGGUAUCUAGAACUGGGUCCAUGUUCCAUUGAGUUUGUUUCUAACUCAUGACUUUUGGUAAAUUACGUAAAGUGAAGUUUAGUGAGAUAAAAAAAUAAUCCAUAGAGUUGUUAGGAAGACGAAAUGCCAGUUAUAGCAAAUAUACAUCCAGCAUUUAUUAUAUAUUAGAUAUUUGUUACUUUUCUGUUGCUUUGAUAAAACACCAUGACCAGACUUUGUGGUUCCAUCCCCAUCACAGCCGGGAGGCAUACACAGUGGCUGAAGGAGCAAGCUGACAGCUCACAUCUUGAGCCACAAGCACAAAGCAGAGAGAGCAAACUAGAAAUGGUGCAAGUCUCUAGAUCCUCAGAGCCCAUCCCAGCAACAUAUUUUAUCCAACAAGACCACACCUCCUAGACCUCUCCAAAUAGUGCCACCAACUGGGGACUGAGUGUUCAAUUAUCUGAGCCUGUGAUGGCAUUUUCAUUCAAACCACUGCAGUAUUCUAAAUGCAUUACUUCAUUUAAACCUUAGAACACAUAUUUACAGAUAAGAACAUGGCCUAAAGGAUUGAGCUCAGAAGUGGUAGAGAAUGAAUUUUAGCCUAAGUUGUGCACAGAUUUCAGGUUUUUAGUCAUUGACUAAAAAUACAUGACACACUUUGUUAGCAUAUCCAGGCCAUCACAUCGUAAUUACUCAUACUGAAGGUAAGUAACAUCAGCACCAGCCCCUUUCUGGCAGUUUGUGGAGUAACCUCUGAGGAAGAGGAACAGACUUUCAUUCUGAUGUUGCAGUUGAGUUCUGCUAUCUCCUGGCAGGGUUGCUACCUGUUUUGGGUUUUUUUUUUUUGCCUCAACCGUUAGAGAAGACUGCCCUUUUCACCAGGCCACUAAAACAGAGUUGCAUAAUUCUAGAAUCCAACAACAUUGAUUUCAUUAUUUUCAUCCAACUUGUGUUGUUGUUUUUGUUAUUGUUGUGGUUGUUGUUGUUGGUGGUGGUGGUGUGUGUGAUUUGCUUGUGUGCACCUGUGCCAUGGUACAUACAAUGUAGAGGUCAAAGGCUGCUUCUUGGGGGUCAGUUCUCUUCCUCCUACCGUAGGAUCUGAGGAUCAACUGGCAACACUUUCACCCACGGAGUCAUCUCAGCUGCCUUGUGUUGUAACCACUUUAUUGAGAGAAAGUUCACCUACCACCCCAUUCACCCAUACAAAGUUUAAGUCAGUGACUCCUAGUGUAUUUAUAAUUGUACCUAUUACCACAGUCAUAAAAGCAUUUUUUCACCUCAAAAUGAAACCCUGUACCUUCAGUGAUUAUCUUCUAUUUCCCCCAUUUCUUGCAACCUAAGUAAUCACCCUUCUGCUCUCCUGUCCCUAAAAGAGACAUUUAUAGAUAUUUCAUGUGCAUGGGAUGAUAAUGCUUCUUUAACUUAGCCUAAUAUUUUCCUUUUUUCAUAUUUUAAGACUUAAAAUUUUACCUGGCUUUUGAGAAUUUCAUAUAGGUGUGUAUUUUGAUCAUAUCCACCCCCUAUUCACUCCCCAAUUUUCCCCAGACACUUCUGCAUAUCCCCUUCUCAACUUCAUAUUGUCUUCAUAAUCCACUGAAUCCAACUAGUGCUGCCUGCUAGUAGGAUUACCCACUGGAGCAUGGGCAACCUAUGAGGCCAUACCUCUGAAAACAGCUGACUGUCCCCCCCAGCAGCCAUCACUGCCUAUUACUCUCAGCCAACAGUGGAGCCUCAUGAGCUCUCCGUCUAUGCUGGAAUCUUGACUGGCUUGAUCUUGUACAAAUCUUGAACAGGCAGCCACAGUUGCUGUGAGCCCAUGAGUCCAAUAGCCUGCCAUGUACAGAAGACACUAUUUCACAACAGAGCAUGUUUUCAAAGUUCAUCUCUGUUGUAGCAUAUGUCAGUAAUCAGUACUUUGAUCCUUUUUAUGGUUGACUGAUAGUCCAUUGCCCAGAUAUAUUAUAUUUUGUUAACCUAUUUCAGUUGAAGAACAUUUGGAUUCUUUCUACCUUUUAGGUUUUAUGAAUGAUAGUGCAUAUGUAGUUGUAUGGAUCUGUGUCAUUUCUCUUGGAUAAUGUACCUAGAAGAGGAAUUCAUGGAUCAUGUGGUUACUUUGUUUAAUGAAGUGACAGUCUGUUUUCCAAAGUGUGUGCAUCAUUUUAAAUCCCACUAGAAGUGUGUAAAAAUACAUUCUACAUUCUUUGCUAGUUUUUGUCAGCUGCUGGAUUGUUGGUAGAGAAAGAAUCAUGAAUGCUUCUUGUUCUGUCAUGCUCUCCCUUCACAGUGGUUUAGUAUAACAGUGCCUGAUUCUGCUGUCAUCUACAGCUGCCAGGUCAUAUGAUGUGCCAUGGCAGUGAAAGUUUCGCAGAUGAUCAGCUGCCAUAUUCAAACUUUGCACAGGCUUUAACUCAAGUGUAAAGAGCCUUCAGUGAGUUGUUCUUCUGCAGUUAGUAUAUAGUAUAAACUUGCCCAGCAGUUGGAGUUUUCUUCAUCUGCCCCAGUGGCAUCUCCAUAUUUCUUCAUACCCCUCUCAGAAGCUAACAGCAUUUUGCAGUUUGCCAUCUUCUCUAGUUGCCCAGUGACUCUCUGUUUAAACUGACUUAUUUCUGGCUUGAUUAAUUUUCUGUCUCUAAGAUAAACUGUUUGCCCUCUUUCUGAAGAAGGCUUUGCUGAUACAUGCUAGUCUAAAUUAUUCCAAGAACAUUUUUACUUGCUAGUGUUGUCCAUGGAGCUAUAGUUAAAUUUACUUGUCUGUUGGUAAACUGUAAACCCCACAAUACCAUUCUCCACGGCAUAAAACUCCUUACCAUUCACUGUUCCCAAGUACAACAGGCAGGGAUUGUGUCAUUUAUCUCUGAGUCCUCAGACCUCGCCCAAAGUCGGAGAGAGUAUAAAUGUGUCAAACACUUUGUUUGUAUUGGAGCUAAAGAGAUGGUUAAAAGAUCUGGCUGUUCUUCCAGAGAACCUGGGUUUUGAUUCUCAGCACCCACAUGGUGGCUCACAAUCCAGCUCUAGGGAUUCUAGUGCCUUUGUUUGGCCUCCAUGGGUACCAGACACACAAGUAAUACAUAGACAUGCAUGCAGACAGAACACUUGUGCAUAAGAAAUAAAAAUAAAUGAAAAAAAUUGGUUGUGUGAAUGACCGCAAUGAACCUAGCCUUAGCUGUAGUGUGUGUGACCUCUUCAUUUACAGCCAAGUUAUUGUAGACCAUCUACAAAAUCUCCCAUAGCUUCUCCAUCUGAACAUUUCCUGUUUUUCCUCCUGUAGUGAAACCUGCCUGUGACUGGAAGACACAUUUCCUCUGUAUACUGAAAGUGGUGGCUGAUGUUUGUCUUGUAGUCCUUGUUACCCUGAUGGUGACAUGGAGCUGGAUUCCCCCUUCUCCACUCACUUCUUCCUGCUCCUCCUCAGUCUCCUCCCCAACAUACCCACUUUGAAUUGUACUUCAUCACAUUUUGCCAUUUCUGUGCUUCACUGCAGAACUCUUCCUAGAGAUAACUUGGCUCAUGGCACUCUCUAAUAUAUGUCCUUUUGUGAGUCUCAGUAUCUAUAUGUUUGGAUAGAUGAUUAUUGCAGAUUGUGGUCUGUUUUACUCACUGUCUUUCAAUGAUGUCAUUUUCUACUGUGUGUUCAGCACGUAUUUUCAUUGGGCACAUCCUAGUCAUUAUCAUUUCUCCUUUAAAAAUUUCUGCUCUGAUGAUCACUGGUUUCCUGGCUGUUGUACUGCCCCCAUUCAUAGAGCCGACCACCUUCCCAUUGCCUUUCUUCUCACGUGGCUUAGAUCCCUUUGGAGGAUCUUAUAUGCUUCUUCAUCUGUCCCCAAACCUCCUGAGCAUCACCUCUUGUCUUUGCUGUUGUCUGUGGUGAGGAGGCAGAGGUGGUCAGAGGCUCCCAUCCUCUCCAUCUGCAUGCUCCUUUCUGUCCCUUCUCCUUGAUGUUUUCCUUGCUACUAGAUCAUUCCUUCUGACAUAGAAUCAGGUUGUAAUUUCUCCUAGCCUUAAAAAAAAAAGUCUCCUCCCCUUUGUCCCUCAUACUUUUUUCUCAGUUGUCUGUCACUGCUGUCAUCUACUUCUCCCCCAUUAUCACUUGGAGCAGCUGUUACCUUUCAUUCCUCAUCUUAGCCUGUAGUCAGGCUUUUCUGUCCUGUCCCAGUCCACAGCCGCUUUCAAAUGAUCACUCAGAGGCUUAUAUUACUUACAGUUGUUUGAAUGAUGGCUCAGGAUUAUUACCUACUAGCUCUUACAUUUAAGUUAAGCCAUUUCUAUUAAUCUUCGUUCACCACGUAGCCCGUGCCUUACUGGUGCUCUGGCAUCUUGCUCCUUCAGCAUCUGCUGGUGUCUGCUCUGAUUCCACCCUUCUUCUCCCUGUAUCUUUGCUUGGAUUUCCAACCUGGCUAUAACCUGUCUUGCCAUAGGCCAAGGCAACUUCUUUAUUAACCAAUAGUAACAACACAUAUUCACAGCAUAUAGAAUGACCAUCCUACAGCAUUAGCCUGUUAACAGCAUCUGACCAUUUAGUUACAGUUUUCUGCCUGUUUUUUUUUUUUUUUUUUUUU
This is a long non-coding RNA of Peromyscus leucopus (white-footed mouse), 4849 nucleotides long. RefSeq lists it as uncharacterized. The transcript is spliced from 2 exons. NCBI's taxonomy places the organism in Eukaryota, Metazoa, Chordata, Mammalia, Rodentia, Cricetidae. The record is from RefSeq and is a predicted model, not a curated record.